This 691-nucleotide ribosomal RNA is filed under the name uncultured bacterium. RNAcentral's name for it is "bacterial SSU rRNA". It matches the Rfam family "Bacterial small subunit ribosomal RNA", at positions 8 to 688 of the family's 1533-position model. The record is from RNAcentral.
AGGGUUUGAUCCUGGCUCAGAUUGAACGCUGGCGGUAUGCUUAACACAUGCAAGUCGAACGGAAACGAUGGAAGCUUGCUUCCAGGCGUCGAGUGGCGGACGGGUGAGUAAUGCUUGGGAAUCUGCCUAAUAGUGGGGGAAAACACGGGGAAACUCGUGCUAAUACCGCAUAAUCUCUACGGAGGAAAGGGGGCCUCUACAUGUAAGCUCUCGCUAAUAGAUGAGCCCAAGUCAGAUUAGCUUGUUGGUGAGGUAAAAGCUCACCAAGGCUACGAUCUGUAGCUGGUCUGAGAGGACGAUCAGCCACACUGGGACUGAGACACGGCCCAGACUCCUACGGGAGGCAGCAGUGGGGAAUAUUGCACAAUGGGCGCAAGCCUGAUGCAGCAAUACCGCGUGUGUGAAGAAGGCCUUAGGGUUGUAAAGCACUUUCAAUAGAGAAGAAAAGCUUAGAGUUAAUAACUCUAAGCAUUGACGUAACCUAUAGAAGAAGCACCGGCUAAAUCCGUGCCAGCAGCCGCGGUAAUACGGAUGGUGCGAGCGUUAAUCGGAAUUACUGGGCGUAAAGCGCGCGUAGGCUGUUUUAUAAGUCGGAUGUGAAAUCCCCGGGCUCAACCUGGGAACUGCAUCCGAAACUAUUUAACUAGAGUAUGGGAGAGGUAAGUAGAAUUUCCGGUGUAGCGGUGAAAUG